Molecule: ribosomal RNA, 252 nt
Filed under: uncultured bacterium
Lineage: Bacteria
Description: partial 16S ribosomal RNA
Rfam family: Bacterial small subunit ribosomal RNA
Source: RNAcentral
UACGGGGGGGGCAAGCGUUGUUCGGAAUUACUGGGCGUAAGGGCCAGUAGGCGGCCAACUAAGUCCGACGUGAAAUCCCAAGGCUUAACCUUGGAACUGCGUCGGAUACUGGAUGGCUUGAAUUCGGGAGAGGGAUGCAGAAUUCCAGGUGUAGCGGUGAAAUGCGUAGAUAUCUGGAGGAAUACCGGUGGCGAAGGCGGCAUCCUGGACCGACAUUGACGCUGAACGGCGAAAGCUAGGGGAGCAAACGGG